Otolemur garnettii (small-eared galago) is the source of this 117-nucleotide small nucleolar RNA. It matches the Rfam family "Small nucleolar RNA U13". The record is from Rfam. NCBI's taxonomy places the organism in Eukaryota, Metazoa, Chordata, Mammalia, Primates, Galagidae.
GACCUUUUGUAGUUCAUAAGAAUAAUCAUAAGAAUAAUGAUUUGAGUGUUCACUCCCAUGCCUGAGAUGUGCUUCUCUCCAACCUUGGUAUGACAUCAGCACAUUACCCAUAUGAUA